UCAGUUCUUGAAAUUGUAAGUGGUGUAAAACAAUAUUCUUGGUUAAUUAUCAGCCCAAGCCAGUUGCCACGGGACCAAAGAGACCAAGAGGAAGACCGCGAAAAUGGCCUCCUCCAGAUACAUCACUACCUAAACGGAGCAGGGGAAGACCUAGGAAAAAUGCAAACCCAACUUUAGAGCUUCCCACUAUGGUUGGCAUGGCAGCAGAUCCAACUUUGCAAAACGAUAGACCACCAGUAGUAACUGCACCAAUCGCAACUGAUGUUGUUCCACCAGACGAUUUAUUUAAUAAUGAUGAUGCAGACUGAGCUCAUCGUUGAGACACUGAAAUACCCUUGUACAACAUACUUCUACUCUACAAAGGUUGGCAGUAUGAAGCAGAGUGUAAUGGACAGAAUUGAGAGGUUACUAUGCAAAGUAUUAUAUUGAGAGAUGGAAAAUGAAUUGAAAGAUAUCGAACAAGUUUGGUAGAGAAUGGUAUAUUGGUCGUGUUUGCUUAUAAAAUGUGACACAUAAUUAUAUAAUAUUAUAUAUACAUUAGGAAUAGAUCUUUGCGAAUUGUGCACCACUGUUUAUAAUGUAACACAAUUAUUAAUAUAUGUAUAGAGUAAAUUUAGAAUAUAACAGAUUGCAGCAAAGCUCACUGGAGAACAUUUCACAUGCGCACUUAGUAAUUGCUAUGCUAAUGGCUUAGAUAACAUUAUUCUUGACAUCUUUAUGGUGUCUGCUACAUCUUAUAGAUUCUCUGUGAAUCCGUCAUUGUCCUAAUAAUAUUGGCUGUCAAGUUGACAUUUGAGCAAAGUUGGUACAAUUUCAAUACCAUUUAAAAGUAUAAAGCUGUUAGAAGUAAAAUUAUUUGUCGCAUAUUACCAUUGUAUUGUGUGUAUAUAAACAUUUUGAAUUUAGUAUUAUCACUAUGCAUACAUUUGUAGAGGUGUAAUUUGCCUUUUAACUCAUACAUGGAAUUUCUAAUAAUUCUCAAUGUUGAAAUUAGUAUUAAAACAUAGGUCAGUGUAUUUAUCAUAUUGUGAUAAUAAUAUUAUUGAUCAUGAUGAACUUGUAGAACCAGAAUAACUUGUUUAUCAGGUUCCUUAUUGUCUUCAGCACCAGCAGUGAUCAGCACCUAAUUUUUCCUCAAAGUAUCAGGUUAUCAGAAUUUAGGAUCUGAUUUAAUUAGGAAAAAAAUUCUGUUGUCCUAAUUACUAUAAAAAUUAGUUGAUACUUGUUCUCCUGCUAGGACAAGAUGAGAUAGAAAUAUUUUUAGUCAAUAAUAGAAGGGUUAGGUCACUCUAUUUUUGGUGAUUUGUUACAUAUAAAUCCAGGGG
Molecule: long non-coding RNA, 1325 nt
Organism: Orbicella faveolata
Lineage: Eukaryota; Metazoa; Cnidaria; Anthozoa; Scleractinia; Merulinidae
Source: RefSeq, a predicted model, not a curated record